This 1547-nucleotide ribosomal RNA is filed under the name Staphylococcus epidermidis. RNAcentral describes it as "partial 23S ribosomal RNA". It matches the Rfam family "Bacterial large subunit ribosomal RNA", at positions 1388 to 2925 of the family's 2925-position model. The record is from RNAcentral. Lineage: Bacteria; Bacillati; Bacillota; Bacilli; Caryophanales; Staphylococcaceae.
GUCCUAAGCUGAGGCCGACAGGCGUAGGCGAUGGAUAACAGGUUGAUAUUCCUGUACCACCUAGUAUCGUUUUAAUCGAUGGGGGGACGCAGUAGGAUAGGCGAAGCGUGCUGUUGGAGUGCACGUCCAAGCAGUAAGGCUGAGUGUUAGGCAAAUCCGGCACUCAUAAGGCUGAGCUGUGAUGGGGAGAGGAAAUUGUUUCCUCGAGUCGUUGAUUUCACACUGCCGAGAAAAGCCUCUAGAUAGAUAACAGGUGCCCGUACCGCAAACCGACACAGGUAGUCAAGAUGAGAAUUCUAAGGUGAGCGAGCGAACUCUCGUUAAGGAACUCGGCAAAAUGACCCCGUAACUUCGGGAGAAGGGGUGCUCUUUAGGGUUCACGCCCAGAAGAGCCGCAGUGAAUAGGCCCAAGCGACUGUUUAUCAAAAACACAGGUCUCUGCUAAACCGUAAGGUGAUGUAUAGGGGCUGACGCCUGCCCGGUGCUGGAAGGUUAAGAGGAGUGGUUAGCUUCUGCGAAGCUACGAAUCGAAGCCCCAGUAAACGGCGGCCGUAACUAUAACGGUCCUAAGGUAGCGAAAUUCCUUGUCGGGUAAGUUCCGACCCGCACGAAAGGCGUAACGAUUUGGGCACUGUCUCAACGAGAGACUCGGUGAAAUCAUAGUACCUGUGAAGAUGCAGGUUACCCGCGACAGGACGGAAAGACCCCGUGGAGCUUUACUGUAGCCUGAUAUUGAAAUUCGGCACAGCUUGUACAGGAUAGGUAGGAGCCUUUGAAACGUGAGCGCUAGCUUACGUGGAGGCGUUGGUGGGAUACUACCCUAGCUGUGUUGGCUUUCUAACCCGCACCACUUAUCGUGGUGGGAGACAGUGUCAGGCGGGCAGUUUGACUGGGGCGGUCGCCUCCUAAAAGGUAACGGAGGCGCUCAAAGGUUCCCUCAGAAUGGUUGGAAAUCAUUCAUAGAGUGUAAAGGCAUAAGGGAGCUUGACUGCGAGACCUACAAGUCGAGCAGGGUCGAAAGACGGACUUAGUGAUCCGGUGGUUCCGCAUGGAAGGGCCAUCGCUCAACGGAUAAAAGCUACCCCGGGGAUAACAGGCUUAUCUCCCCCAAGAGUUCACAUCGACGGGGAGGUUUGGCACCUCGAUGUCGGCUCAUCGCAUCCUGGGGCUGUAGUCGGUCCCAAGGGUUGGGCUGUUCGCCCAUUAAAGCGGUACGCGAGCUGGGUUCAGAACGUCGUGAGACAGUUCGGUCCCUAUCCGUCGUGGGCGUAGGAAAUUUGAGAGGAGCUGUCCUUAGUACGAGAGGACCGGGAUGGACAUACCUCUGGUGUACCAGUUGUCGUGCCAACGGCAUAGCUGGGUAGCUAUGUAUGGACGGGAUAAGUGCUGAAAGCAUCUAAGCAUGAAGCCCCCCUCAAGAUGAGAUUUCCCAACUUCGGUUAUAAGAUCCCUCGAAGAUGACGAGGUUAAUAGGUUCGAGGUGGAAGCGUGGUGACACGUGGAGCUGACGAAUACUAAUCGAUCGAAGACUUAAUCAAUUUUUUAAA